This 356-nucleotide ribosomal RNA is filed under the name uncultured bacterium. RNAcentral describes it as "bacterial SSU rRNA". It matches the Rfam family "Bacterial small subunit ribosomal RNA", at positions 28 to 365 of the family's 1533-position model. The record is from RNAcentral.
GAUGAACGCUGGCGGCGUGCUUAACACAUGCAAGUCGAACGAGGAUUUAACGGAAUGCGAUUCGUCAAAUGAAAUUAAAUCCGAGUGGCGGACGGGUGAGUAACGCGUGGAUAACCUGCCUCACACAGGGGGACAACAGUUGGAAACGACUGCUAAUACCGCAUAACACAAGUAAUUCGCAUGAAUAACUUGCCAAAGAUUAUAUCGGUGUGAGAUGGAUCCGCGUCUGAUUAGCCAGUUGGCGGGGUAACGGCCCACCAAAGCGACGAUCAGUAGCCGACCUGAGAGGGUGACCGGCCACAUUGGGACUGAGACACGGCCCAAAAUCCUAACGGGAGGCAGCAGUGGGGAAUAUU